This 61-nucleotide transfer RNA is filed under the name Ictidomys tridecemlineatus (thirteen-lined ground squirrel). Its description in RNAcentral is "Spermophilus tridecemlineatus (thirteen-lined ground squirrel) tRNA". It matches the Rfam family "tRNA", at positions 6 to 65 of the family's 71-position model. Rfam says of the family: Transfer RNA (tRNA) molecules are approximately 80 nucleotides in length. Their secondary structure includes four short double-helical elements and three loops (D, anti-codon, and T loops). The record is from Rfam by way of RNAcentral. Lineage: Eukaryota; Metazoa; Chordata; Mammalia; Rodentia; Sciuridae.
UGUAGCUCAGUGGCAGAGCGCUUGCCUCGCAUGCAUGAGGCACUGGGUUUGAUUCUCAGCA